RNAcentral lists this long non-coding RNA (4072 nucleotides) under Nicotiana benthamiana. Its description in RNAcentral is "long non-coding RNA (NBEN_LNC005561)". Lineage: Eukaryota; Viridiplantae; Streptophyta; Magnoliopsida; Solanales; Solanaceae. The record is from RNAcentral.
UCCCAUCUUCUCGUGCUUCAGCCUCGAUAGUAAUAGCUUGAGCUGGGCAAAUCUGUUAGCAAGCCCAAUUUAUUUGUUUCAUUAGCAAUAACAGUCAUAUGCUUCCACAUGCAGAAUGCCAGCAGUAUCAUCCACACCAAACCUUAACUUAAACAAAGCAGUCCUAUAGUUCCUAGGGAAGACUGCUUUUUUUUUUUUUUGAUAAUGGUAACAUGUAUAUUAAUAAAUAAAACAGCACUAGGGCAGCACCAAGCCAUAUUUACAAGGAACAAAAACCAACUAUGUCAACCUAAGAUUACAGUGCACCUAUCAGGUCUACUAAAGAUUCUGCCUCCUCAACACAACUUUCUUUACACCAGAGAAAUGAAACAAAAGUAAACACUUUAUCUUGAUUUUCUAUAAAGAAUUGCUUCUGUCUUCAAAAGUUUUUAAAUUUCUCUCCUUCCAUACUGUCCAACAUAUGCAUGCAGGAAACAAUCGCCACCAUUUCUUCUGUCUCACUAUACCCCCAUUGUAAUUCCAACACUUCAACAGUUCACAAGUGUUAGCUGGCAUGCUCCAUUUAAGGCCCACAAUAUUAAGAGAGAGCUGCCACAGUUGGUUAGUAAAAGGACAAUGAAAAACAAAUGGCUAUUAGUUUCUAUAGCUGAACCACAUAAUAGGCAUCUAGAGCAUAGCUGAAAACCUCUUCUUCUCAAGUUCUCUUGGGUUAGACAAGCCUUUCUUGCAACUAACCAAAGCUUACUACCUUGAGAGGUGCCUUUACUUUCCAAAUAUACCUCCAGGGCCAUUGUUCUAACUGUUGUGUAUGUCUUAACGCUAUAUUUUUACUGUAAAGAUUAUAUGAGAGUAAAAUUGGGACAAGCCUUCUACGGCGAAGUCGAAGAUAGUCAUUCACGCUGCUGCAUGAAAAGCAUACCACCUUGAAAGGUGCCUUUACUUUCCAAAUAUAACUCUAGGGCCAUUGUUCUAACUGUUGGUUUGAAGCAACAAUUAGAGUAUAUGUGGAUUUGACCGUAAAAUUUCCACUCCUCCUCCAAGGCAUUGUUCUAACUGUUGGUUUGAAGCAGCAAUUAGAGUAUAUGCAGAUUUGACCGUAAAAUUCUCACUCCUACAAAGGUUCCAACAGAGUUUAUCUUCCGUUUCUCUAAGACCUUGGAAUUGUUCUAAGAUAUUAAAGAAAUCCACAGCCCUCUCUAAUUCUCAAUCAUUCAAGGCCCUUCUAAAAGUAACAUUUCAUCCUUGCUGACCCCAGGCAGUGUCUAAAGUGGAUGUAGGCGAUGUUGCAAUGCUGAAAAAAUCAGGAAAAAGUUCUUUGAGAUGACCAUGUCCUAACCAGUUAUCUCCAGAAAAGUGUUUUCCUUCCAUUACCCACCUUUAUGGUUGUAUUAUCAGCCAGAGUAUUCCGGUAAAGUUUAAUUGACUUCCAUACCCCAACCCCAUGUGAACUAUUAACAAUGUUAGAGCACCAUAGUCCAUUUUGUCCAUACUUGGCACAGAUGACCUUUCUCCACAAAGCAUUAACCUCCAGAUUGUACCUCCAAAGCCACUUCAAGAGUAAACUCUAAUUGUGGGCUUUAAGAUUCCUAAUGCCCAAGCCCCCUUUGUCUUUGUUUGUGAUAAGAGAAUUCCAAUUAACCAAAUGAAUAGCUUCCUUCUCUCUGUUUCCUUGCCAUAUCAAGUUCCUUCUUAGUGCAUCAAUUCUUUUCCUUACCUUGCUUGGAAAGGGAAACAAGGACAUUACAUAUGUAGCAAGUGCAUCCACGACACUAUUAACCAAUACCACCCUUCCACCCAAGGAUAAAAACUGGCUCUUCGAGAUUGACAGCCUCUUUCACAUCUUUCAAGAACCCCAUUCCAUAUUUCCUGCGCUUUGUUCUUGGAGCCUAGAGAUAAACCCAAAUAUAUAGUUGGUAGAGAACCCACCUCACAUCCUAGUAUAACUGCUAGGGCCUGGAUAUCAUCCACUUCUUUAACUGGGAACAACAUGCUCUUCCUCCAAUUUACAUGGAGCCCUGAGACUGCUUCAAAUAUAACAAGAAUGACUCUUAGAUAUUUUAGUUGAUCUGCCUUUGCCUCACAAAAAUCUAAAGAGUCAUCAGCAUAUAGAAGAUGGGUGAUCGCCACACUAUCUCCCUCCCUGUUUGAAGCUUUAAAACCUUUCAGCCAAUCAUUGUUGUUUGCAUUUCUUAACAUUUGGUUCAAUCCUUCCAUAGCAAAGAGGAAAAGAAAAGGUGAUAAGGUAUCCCCUUGUCUCUAACCUCUCUCAGAAGGAAAAAAACCCUUUGGAGAACACCAUUCACCAAAAUGGAAAAUCUGGCUGUUUUGAUGCAGAAAGAUAUCUCCUUGAUCCACUUCCUACCGAAACCCAUAUCCUGAAGAACUUUGAGUAAAAAGUUCCAAUUAACAUGGUCAUAGGCCUUCUCAAUAUCAAGCUUACAAAGAAUUCCAGGAACCCGCCCUUUUAAGUCUGUAGUCCACACAUUCAUUUGCAAUCAAAAAAGCAUCCAUGAUUUGCCUGCCUCUUAUGAAGGCCAUUUGAUGCCCAUUCACUAGUUUGUCCACCCCUUUCUUGAGCCUUUCUGUCAACAGUUUUGAAAUGAUCUAGUAAAUGCUUCCUAUAAGACUAAUAGGUCUGAAGUCCUUGAGUUCCUUAGCACCAUUCUUCUUUGAAAUAAGAGCUAUCUAAGAAGCAUUGAAACUCUUCUCAAAAUUCUCAUUGUUGUGGAAGUUCCUGAUGGUCUGCAUGAUAUCCUCUUUCACAAUCUCCCAGCAAUUAUGGAAAAACCCCAUAUAGAAACGAUCAGGACCCUGUGCCAUGUCAGCUGCACAUAGCUUCAAGGUCUCAAACACUUCUUGUUCUUCAAAUUCACCUUGCAACAAUUCAUUAUCUUCCUCUGUAAUGCUGCAUUCACCUUGGAAGUUAAAAUCAUGUCUCCAGAUUUCUGUUUCUGCAUAAAGUUUCUGAUAAAAAGACGCUAUCUCGGUUUUAAUUCCAUGUGGCUCAAUAAUUUCUUCCCCGUGAACCUCUAGCUUAUCUAUAUGGUUGGCUCUCUAUUAUAGUUGGCAAUUCUCGAGAAAAACUUGGUGUUUUUAUCACCUUGUUUCAGCCAUAAAGCUCUAGAUCUUUGUCUCCAAUAUAUCUUUUCAUUCUUUGCAAUCUCCUGGAAUUCCAUGUGCAAGCUUGCCUUCUCAAGUAAUUCGGCCUCAUUUAAUGGUCUUUGUUCCUGCAAAAGAUCCAAGUUUUGAAUUUGGUUCAACAGCUCAAUCUUCUUCCUCUUCAAGCUCCCCCCAUUAAGCACAUUCCACUCAUUUAACUGAACUUUCAACAUUUUGAGUUUAUAAGCCAGAAUAUAAUCUGGCCUUCCAGUGAUCUCACAUGAAUUCCACCAUCCUGCCAUCCUCUCCUUAAACCCUUCCACUUCCAUCCACCAAUUCUCAAAUUUGAAAUAAGAUUUUGAGAAAUCCCAUUCCCCACAUUUCAAAGAAAUAGGGCAAUGAUCAGAGACAAUUCCAGGAAGAAGAGAUUGGUUAAUAUUAUUAAACUUCUCAUCCCACCCAGCUGAAAACAAGAAUCUAUUUCUUGAAGAACAAUCAAUGAUUGUUUCCUUUAUCCCAAGUGUACCUACCUCCCAAUAAAGGAUAGAUUCUUGAAGAUCAAUCAUGAUCGUUUCCUUUAUCCCAAUUUUGGCCAGUGUUGAGAUUGUUCCACUCGAUUAAUUGUAGCCCAAAUUUUCUUAGUUUUCUAUGCCUGUUACUUCGAUAUCCGGCCCUGCAUCAUAGAAAGUUUCUUCGUUUCCUUCAGAAAUUCAAAGAAGAUUUUGACUCUGAUAACUAACAUGAGCAUCUUCUUUUGCAACCUCGGCUGAAUCCACCAGUGAUAAAUAGUCGCAUGACUGCGAAGCUUGGAUAGCUUCGAUCUCAACGAGGAAAGAAUCCACUAUAUUCAGUGAUUUGGUCUGGCCCAAUUUCCUGCCUUUGGGCCUGGCCCAACUCCGAUUCUUCAACCCCAAGAGACGGUCCAUUUAAAACUAAAUCCUCUACGUGCUCAGCAUGCCCUAGCAACACCCAG